CGGAAUUUAUUACGUAAUGGAUAGUAUCUGAAAAGGAAAAGUUGGUUGUGGUGUGCCGAAACCAACGUACGAGUGGGCCUGUAAUAAAAGAGGGCCCACCAAGGAGAAUUGUAAUGCUAACUGGGUAUAGGUGGGUGGGGACAAUCAACUGGAUCGGCAGAGGUGAGUAGGGGCUGGGAGUUUAAGCAAAUUCAGGCCUAAUGGCCUUUCUACUUGUGCUCGGAAUUUAAUACGUAAUGGAUAGUAUCUGAAAAGGAAAAGUUGGUUGUGGUGUGCCAAAACCAACGUACGAGUGGGCCUGUAAAUAAAAGAGGGCAAAAGAGAAGUUCGAGAAAAGACACACUUUAUUGCAUUUUACAUAACCAAGUUCCUGAAGGCUUGACAAAGCUCACUUUCUGGUCGUGGUAUAUAUGUAUGGUAUAUGGAGGAUUUCCAUCGACCCAGUCUCUUGAUGAUGUGGACCGGAGUGUUUGUGCUAGAGGCUGAUGAAGCGGCUCCUAUGCGGAAGGAGUGCCCGGAGAAUGAAGCCGGAUUGUAACCCAGUUUGGAUAGUAAUGUUCUGACGUGUGCCAUGAAUUUAGCCGUGGUGAGCGGGUGCCCUUGUAGUGAUAAGAGCGGAGAGUCUGGUAAGUGUGCGUGAUGAGUUGACCAUAGGUGGUCUAGCGCCUUGACCAGACACCAGGCAUUAUCGGUAGGAAAGAGAGGAAUGAUGGUGGGGUGUUGUGAGUGAUUAGUUUUUGUUGAUGGGAGCGUAAGUGAAGCUUUGAGGCUGUGCGUGAUAUCCCCUUGGCAAACAACGUUGAACUCUCUGGGUCUGAGAAAACCGUAGAAAGCAAGAUAGAUAGUAGAUUUAAUCACCAGGUUUGUGUUGGGAUCGAACGGGGAUUCGUCAAGGAGAUUGCUGAGUGAUCUAAAGAUAGGCCCAUCUAUAGGCAGUCUUGUGUUGGUGAGUGGAACAGAAAUCUUUAAUAUACCUUUCAAGACCUUUUUAAUGGGAUAUGACGACAAGUUGGUGGUAUUGUUAGGAAAAUUGGUGAGGCUAUGGUGCUGAACCCCGGUGAGGUAAAGUUUAAUGGUGUUGUGAGAAAGUUUAAGAUGUAAGUGGCAGAAAGAGGCAAAAGCCACCAUGGUUUGUGUAGAAAAAUCACCUUGUAAACCGAAUUCUGCAGUGGAUUUAUUAAAAAUGGUAAGUGCCCUAUUGUAGGAGAUAGCUGUGUUAGGUGAUAGUGCUUGUUGAGUGAGAGUCCUAGCGUGGUGCAUUAGUGCGCUCAAUCCAGGAUUAGUUCGUGAAAUCGUGGUGUCCUGGAUGGCUGGUGGUGAGCUGUAGGGAGUGCCUGGAAGAAUACCUGGAAUUGAGAGCGAGAAAGAGCGUCAGCGGCUGUGUUGUGGAUACCCGGAUAUGAAAACAAACUAAGUGAAACUGGACGGUUGCUGCGAGCCAGGUCAGCUUGGGAAUCAGCCGCAUGAUGGUAAGGGAAGAUGAGUGCCCUUUGUUUCAUUUUACUGCCUUGCCGGACCAGAGAAGACACCAGGUGUGUGCGGCCGCCACAAUGGGAUACAUUUCAAAUAGGGCUGAGGUCUCCCUGAAUCCUGG
This 1594-nucleotide long non-coding RNA is filed under the name Pelobates cultripes (western spadefoot toad). The record is from RNAcentral. Lineage: Eukaryota; Metazoa; Chordata; Amphibia; Anura; Pelobatidae.